Molecule: long non-coding RNA, 1587 nt
Organism: Liolophura sinensis
Lineage: Eukaryota; Metazoa; Mollusca; Polyplacophora; Chitonida; Chitonidae
Exons: 2
Source: RefSeq, a predicted model, not a curated record
AGGUACUGACGAUCAUUUGCUAUUUAUUUUGUUGAUAAGCGGUGUAGAAUUUUUUAAAUAUUUUUAUAAAAUUUCUGGAAUACUACUUUAUUAAUUAUUUCAGAUUUAGUGGCUGUCUUUAUGUUUACUUUAAUGUUUAUGCAGCAUUUAAGCUACUGUCUGUGAAUACAGGACAUUUGAUUUGUUAUACACUUUAAUGUGUUAUUGAAAUUAAAAAAGCAUUUUGUUUUUUAAAAAAGUGCUUAAUUGCUCCCAUUAUCAUGACAUGUGAUUUAUAACUUGUGACAAAAGCGUAUUGUAAAUUAAUAUUGGAAUCUCAGAUCUUUUGGCGAGUGACUUCUACAUACUUGUGUGUUUAUAUUAGCGAAAAAUGUGGAGCCCAGCAUAUGUCUGUACAUUAAGUGUUAUAGAAGGUUGGAAGAUUGCAAAUAUUGUGUUCAGAAUUUCCAACCCAAGUUAACAUUGACUGCAUUGUUGUGGCUAACUGUAGUGUUUAUGUAACAUUGGUGUGUUGACAGUUGAUUAACUCCAGCAUAGCUAGCAUUGGUGUGUUGACAGUUGGCCAAGUGCACUCUAGCUGGAAUGCAGCAUUAUGGAAAAUACGCCAGGCUCAUUUUGCGACUCCAUAAAACAGGCCACAUUGUAGGUAGCAUUGGUAUGUGGACUGUUGGCCAAGUGCAGUGUAGCAGGCAUUGGUGUGUUGACAGUUGACAUUGUACUCUAGUGUACCUACAUGUAGCAUUGGUGUGUUAAUGGGUGAUCAACUCCAAUCUAGCUAGCAUUGGUGUGUUGACAGAAAACUAACUCCAGUGUAGCUAGCAUUGGGUGUUGACAUUCGACAUACAAUGUACUCCAGUGUAGCUAGCAUUGGGUGUUUACAGUUGACUAACUGUAACUAUAGCUACAUGUGGCAUUGGUGAGUGUCUCCAUUGCUAAUUAACUAGCGUUGCUUUACUGACAGCCUCUCAUGUACCUGUGUACAUAUCACUUGUACGUCUGUGUGCUCUCCAUCUCUCCGUGCUGUGUUCAUAGUUGGAUACGUAUCUGCUAUUCACGUUGCUAGUGAAAGUGAAACUUAUGUAGUUGUACAUAUCCUCUAAACCUCAUGUUUAGUUGCACUAAUUGUGAUGAUCCCAUGGCACACUGUAUACACAAACAUGCUGUAGAAAUAACAGGAGAUUUCUCUGGUUCUUUGUUCAUUGAUAAUGUAACACGACAGAGUUGUGUGGAGCAGAAACCUUGUAAAACAAGAGGAUCUCUUACAUCUGUUCCAAUGAUAAUAUGUAUGUAUGUAGGCCUAUGUAUGUAUGAGGAAAGCAAUUAUUUAUUAUGGAAUGAAGGUAGGGACAGAAUGGGUUUUACAGUGUGCUCCAGAGUAGAGUGAUAAUCAUUGGAUUGUGUACCAUUUAACUGCGUGAUGAAGAGGCAAGGGGAAACUUGUUUAUUUUGGCCCCCAAAGUACCAGGGGGUAGAUCUCGUCUCGGCUGUUGAUGGGAAUUCGUACUACACACUGCAUGUAGGCUUACCACGGAAAGAUUAUAUCUUUGUUAUGGCAAAUUGCUACUAAAAAGUAUGUGACAAACCUUA